RNAcentral lists this ribosomal RNA (392 nucleotides) under uncultured bacterium. Its description in RNAcentral is "partial 16S ribosomal RNA". It matches the Rfam family "Bacterial small subunit ribosomal RNA", at positions 523 to 918 of the family's 1533-position model. The record is from RNAcentral.
AUACGUAGGGGGCGAGCGUUGUCCGGAUUUAUUGGGCGUAAAGGGUGCGUAGGCGGCCUUGUAAGUCAGAUGUGAAAGAUCAUGGCUUAACUGUGGUAAGCAUUUGAAACUGCAGGGCUUGAGUACAGGAGAGGAGAGUGGAAUUCCUAGUGUAGCGGUGAAAUGCGUAGAUAUUAGGAGGAAUACCAGUGGCGAAGGCGACUCUCUGGACUGAUACUGACGCUGAGGCACGAAAGCGUGGGGAGCAAACAGGAUUAGAUACCCUGGUAGUCCACGCUAUAAACGAUGAGUGCUAGGUGUCGGGGGUCAAACCUCGGUGCCGCAGUUAACACAUUAAGCACUCCGCCUGGGGAGUACGGCCGCAAGGCGGAAACUCAAAUGAAUUGACGGGG